This 270-nucleotide ribosomal RNA is filed under the name uncultured bacterium. RNAcentral's name for it is "partial 16S ribosomal RNA". It matches the Rfam family "Bacterial small subunit ribosomal RNA", at positions 29 to 328 of the family's 1533-position model. The record is from RNAcentral.
AACGAACGCUGGCGGCAGGCUUAACACAUGCAAGUCGAACGCCCCGCAAGGGGAGUGGCAGACGGGUGAGUAACACGUGGGAACGUACCCUUUACUACGGAAUAACGCAUGGAAACGUGUGCUAAUACCGUAUGUGCCCUAUUGGGGAAAGAUUUAUCGGUAAAGGAUCGGCCCGCGUUGGAUUAGCUAGUUGGUGGGGUAAAGGCCUACCAAGGCGACGAUCCAUAGCUGGUCUGAGAGGAUGAUCAGCCACAUUGGGACUGAGACACG